This 961-nucleotide long non-coding RNA is filed under the name Daucus carota (carrot). RNAcentral describes it as "long non-coding RNA (DCAR_LNC003578)". The record is from RNAcentral. Lineage: Eukaryota; Viridiplantae; Streptophyta; Magnoliopsida; Apiales; Apiaceae.
UUUAUGAAAAGAAAUUGCAAAUAUACUAUUUAAAUAUUAAACAUCCCAAUAAACUAUUCUUUGGUACAAAUCAAAGUAACUGCCAACUCAAAGUAGCUAACUACCAAUUCCAACCAAAUUCAUAAUUCAUCGACUAAAAUCAAGGAAACUACCAAAUCCAUAAUUCACCAACUAUAUUACGACCACAAUAUACCCAGAAAGAUGAAAAAGAGGUUAAUCCUCUAAUCACUAGAGACAACAAUGAGAAACUAGCAACUUCAAAUGAGUCGAGCAUCAAUCCAGCCAACUUUAACUUCAAGACUCUUUCCGUUCCUCCUCUCUUUACCUACAAAUUCCAAUCUGCUUUUUCCAUUUACCGAGAAUCUCCUCUGGAUUUGUAGUUGCCUGAACUAACGAGAUUUGGUGUUUCUAUAGAAUCUGAAGAAAUGAAACAGUUUAACGGCAAAAAUGAACAAAAUUGCAAAAAAAAAAAGGUACAAUUUAGGAGCAAAAAUAUAGCACAAUUGCAAAGAUUUCACCUUAACAUAAUUUGGUGAGGUGAGCUAUCUUAAUUAAUAAGUAUCAGUUUAUGCCGGAGUGGCCUCCUGAUAGUAUCAUAUAUAUUCUUUCCACCACAACUAAAUUUCCCCGUAAAGAGAGUCAGAGGCAUAAACUAAAUUACAUAAUUUUUAAGACCUUCUGUAUGUAAACUAUAAGGCCUUCAUCAGUAAUUUUCUUCUCAAGCUGGUCGGUCACAUGAAACACUGGUCAAAAUAAAUAGAUUUGAUGUGUUCAGAGAGUAGUAUUUUAAGCUCAAAAAGUUUACAUAAGACUUAUUAGUUAUUUAACCAAUUGAGAGGUGAGUUUGAGGGGAGAGGUUCCCCGAUUUUUCAUAAUUGCCGGUGAGCUUCAAUAAAGAGGUGAGGUUGAGCAGAGAGAGGUAAGGUGAGGUGAGAUAGGUGAGUGGAGAGAGUGAGGUGGG